This 793-nucleotide long non-coding RNA is filed under the name Bos taurus (domestic cattle). RNAcentral's name for it is "long non-coding RNA NONBTAT016638". Lineage: Eukaryota; Metazoa; Chordata; Mammalia; Artiodactyla; Bovidae. The record is from RNAcentral.
UUUGGGGGUGGGGGGGGUCAAGUGGAAAAACGAUUAUAUGAUUUCAAACAUUUAAAAAAAGAAUCACAUAGUUUCCCAUUUGCACAUCUCUUUUGGCAUUUGUUAAUAUCAAGAGUCUAGGUCUUGGGAGAGGCCAGUGUAUUUUAGACUUUUAAAAGUUCACUUAGAUUUGAACUAAAAGUGGGAGACUGCUAAUUGCUAAAUUUAGCUUCUAUGCAAAAAUCACUACAUUCAAAAUUUAGCUCAACCUUUGAGGAAUAAGUAUUUGCCAGAAGUCAAAUUAAAAGGCUAUUUUAGGAAAAGAACUUAAAUGGAACAAGUUUGAGAAACAUUUACUAUAUAAUAAAAUGCCUUUUGAAAUACCUUUAAAUGACACGGCUUAUUCUUGUUUAUUACAUUUUUCAUAAAUAUAUCUAGAUUAAAUUUCUCCAUAAAUACAUCCACUGAUAAAUUAAGAGAGAAAUGUUAUGAAAAGUGGUGUGUUUAGGUGAAACAAUGGACUACAGUCGUCAUGUUCCCACAGGAUUCCAGCUUCACUAUUUAUUAUCGUGUUAAAAACAAUCUUUAAAGGGCGUGGGAAAAGGUGCUUCAAAAAAGUAGUUUUUCUGGCAAAAUUUGAAAUUAAGACUCUAAAGUCACUAAAGUUUGGUUAAAUGUGGAUCUUGAAAAACACACAGGAUCAGGCAAUAAAUUAGCAGUCCUAGGGAAUGAUAAUCAAUGGCUGGAUAAGCACCAGCAAAUCAAAUGACGGGAUAAACUGGGGAAGCCUCUGGAAGUCACUGUUCCAUCUUGA